AGCAGCCGCGGUAAUUCCAGCUCCAAUAGCGUAUAUUAAAGUUGCCGCAGUUAAAAAGCUCGUAGUUGAAUUUCGGGAUUGACACAUCGGUCGUGCCUUAAGGGGUAUGAACUGGUGUAGUCAAUUUCUCACCUUCUGGAGAACCGCGAUGCCCUUAAUUGGGUGUCGCGGGGAACCAGGACCUUUACUUUGAAAAAAUUAGAGUGUUUAAAGCAGGCAUUUUGCUUGAAUACAUUAGCAUGGAAUAAUAAAAUAGGACGGCAUGAUUCUAUUUUGUUGGUUUCUAGGAUCACCGUAAUGAUUAAUAGGGAUAGUUGGGGGCAUUAGUAUUCAAUUGUCAGAGGUGAAAUUCUUGGAUUUAUUGAAGACUAACUACUGCGAAAGCAUUUGCCAAGGAUGUUUUCAUUAAUCAAGAACGAAAGUUAGGGGAUCGA
Molecule: ribosomal RNA, 434 nt
Filed under: uncultured Entrophospora
Lineage: Eukaryota; Fungi; Glomeromycota; Glomeromycetes; Entrophosporales; Entrophosporaceae
Description: SSU rRNA
Rfam family: Eukaryotic small subunit ribosomal RNA
Source: RNAcentral